GUGGUUGGCUGUUGCGUCACUUUAGUCACAUCACUAGGCUUGGUGUGGUACUCCUGCGUUUAUCUGUACUUUGAUCAAGAAUGGAAGGCCUCAUUCAGCUUGGGUUUUAGCCAACGUGCUGGAACUCGGAUUAUAACAUUGUCGCUGGACGAGGAAAGAAAUCAACAUAGAAGUUAUUACGUCUGCAAAAAACUGUAUUUUAUCGCCCCAAGAAAGUUUAAACUUUGUAUUUUUGAGAAUGCUCGUCUUCCGCUACACAGCGGAUGAAGUAGUCCGUGGAAAAGUGUCAGAGGUUGGCCUUCAAGAACAAAGCAAGUCCAAUCCUCGAUCGAAAUGCAAGGAAAGCAACGACGCAAGAGCGUUUGACCGAGGACGGGUCGCUUGAGUGGUGGUAGAACAAAUUUGAACAUGUAUAAAGUCAAAAUGACAAUGUUCACUUAUACUUGACCACACUUAACGCCCGCUUUCCACAAUGACACAGUCUUCUACAAGACAAUACCUACAUAUACAUAUACGCUUGUACAGUUCAGCGCCGCCAGAGGAUAUCUUUCCCCUGGCAAUGGUGCAUUUCCCGGUGUUAGCGUAUGUAGAUAGCUUCAAACAAAACAGCAAAAAAAUAUAGUGCCGAAAACUCGCAUCUGAAAACUCGAGGACUCAAAAGGCUGAAGAGGGAAUUCUUUGCGAAAAAAAGAUGGCAUCGUGUUUUACUUCAUUGAAGUGAAGUAACUUCACCCCUACUGUAUACAAUGCUAAGAUUCAGCAUUCGAUCUUAGCUACCAAUCAUCGAUUUGUUUUUGUAACAAUUGAAAUCGUAUACUAUUCGUUUACUUUGUGCCAAUUUUCAAUUGUGUUUUGUGUUUAGUUCUCGGUAUCUCGAUAUUGCUUAUGAAUUAUUCGUUGAACAAAUUACACAAUUCUAUUACACAAUGUGCCAUUGUUUUUGUUUCAAUAAAAAUACAUUCUGGAGAUUUCA
Ciona intestinalis (vase tunicate) is the source of this 973-nucleotide long non-coding RNA. RefSeq lists it as uncharacterized. The record is from RefSeq and is a predicted model, not a curated record. Lineage: Eukaryota; Metazoa; Chordata; Ascidiacea; Phlebobranchia; Cionidae.